AGCUCCAAUAGCGUAUAUUAAAGUUGUUGCAGUUAAAAAGCUCGUAGUUGGAUUUCGGAGUGGGCCAGUUGGUCCGCCGCAAGGUGUGUUACUGACUGGUUUGCUCUUCUUCGCAAAGACUGCGUGUGCUCUUCAGUGAGUGUGCGUAGGAUUUACGACGUUUACUUUGAAAAAAUUAGAGUGUUCAAAGCAGGCUAUUGCUUGAAUACAUGAGCAUGGAAUAAUGGAAUAGGACUUUGGUCCCAUUUUGUUGGUUUCUAGGGCCGAAGUAAUGAUUAAGAGGGACAAUUAGGGGCAUCCGUAUUUCGUUGUCAGAGGUGAAAUUCUUGAAUUUACGAAAGACGAACAGCUGCGAAAGCACUUGCCAAGAGUGUUUUCA
This 379-nucleotide ribosomal RNA is filed under the name marine Metazoa environmental sample. RNAcentral describes it as "SSU rRNA". It matches the Rfam family "Eukaryotic small subunit ribosomal RNA", at positions 587 to 972 of the family's 1831-position model. The record is from RNAcentral. Lineage: Eukaryota; Metazoa.